Long non-coding RNA from Pongo pygmaeus (Bornean orangutan), 671 nucleotides. RefSeq lists it as uncharacterized. The record is from RefSeq and is a predicted model, not a curated record. The transcript is spliced from 4 exons. NCBI's taxonomy places the organism in Eukaryota, Metazoa, Chordata, Mammalia, Primates, Hominidae.
GAAUCAAAGGCACAAGGACAGGCUGGGCACAGUGGCUCAUGCCUGUAAUCUCAGCACUUUGGGAGCCCAAGGCCCAGUCCCAAGGUGCAAGGCCACUUGUGCUAGCAGCAUGCAUCAGCAAGAUAGCAGAAGCAGGAAGAGAGCUGGCCGGAACAUAUAUACCCUGUGAAGACAGAGAGAGGCCAUCCAGGUACCACGUAGCAGUUACAUCAGACUGAGACACUUCCUGUUUACAGGAGACUAUAAAACCUCUGCCCCAUCCUCAUUUGGUGCUGAUGCCAUUUUAGGCCUCAGCACGCCUGCACCCAGGCGCUCAUUAAAACAGCAUGUUGCUCCACACUGCCUCGUGUUGUCUGUUGGCACGCUGUCAGGGUUCGAACCCAUACAAGAACCUUUCACCUACCUGGUGCUUUGGCCUCAUCUAUAAGCAGCUUUUCCACUGUCCUGAAACAAGGUAGAGAAUCUGAGCAGCCAGUCAUCUGCCCUAAGUGCUGCCGCCGAAGACUGAAUGUCCUGGAAAGUUUGCUAUCACAUCUCCAUUACGACAAAAGCAUUGUGCCGAACAGAUGAAAAAAUGCAUUGUCAAUGGAAUAUUUUAUGUUUGUUUGUUUUCCUUUAAGCAACAUUGCCUUACUUGUUAUAAAAGAUAAAUAAAUAUUUGUUCAUUUCAA